AGAAGGUGGGGGGGGGGAGAACUAGAAGCACAGCUGCUGCUGCUUCAAGGCGAGUAGAUUGUAAGUGCUUUAUCCGCCACGACUUUGGCAUUUUCUGGAUGGGUGAGGAGCUCCGAGUGCAUCUGAAAAAUCAGUACUGUGCAUGUGUUAAAGCAGGCUAAAAACAGAGUGGGGGGGGAGUUGCAAAGGGUUCCUUCCAGCCCCAUCUGUUGUCUUCCAAUGCAGGGUUGCCCACCAGAGGCACUUUCCCCUCUAUUCAGGCUGGCCCAGCCUUGGUCAUGCUGUCUUGUGACUUGACCUGCUUCGUAGGGCUGUUGGGAAGGCGAAAUGGUGGAAGCCCAACCCUCGGACAUGCAGCUCAGUGGGGACCCUGGACUCCGUUAUUUUUCUGCCGAACUUUCAGGGAAUCACCAGAAAGGUGAUUCGAAACACCUCACCUCACGUCGAAACACCUCACCUUCCGUAUCAAUGAGACAAUCCUACACUGCUUGGUUUGCAUUUUUGAGCAGUUUCUAUUUUUGAAUGGUUCUUUUUAUAAUGUGCCCUCUUCCUUUGAGGUCAAUCAGGUCAGUUUAUGAAGUCAAAGAAAGAGACACAAAUGCAAAAGAAGUCAUAUUGGGGGUGGGGGCCAUCCACGGAACACUUUGCACCGGAAGUAAUCCAGGUACAGCGGUAGCAAUUCAAUCAGGAGAGCAGAACAAAAGCAAGCUCAAGCUAACCCAUGCACAGAUUAGCAGCAUAGAGUUUUUAGUUCUGCUCAGCAACAAGAGCCUCUCCUGCUUUAUGAUUUCUUGCAAGAUCUUCUCAGGGAAUCUUGAAACAAAGGUAUUCCAGAAGCCCCUCUUUACGUUUUGCACUUUGGAUCAGGCCAUCAACUGAACCUGGGAGCCACCAGAAUAGUAGCCAUUGAUCGACCAUUGGGUCUCCUGCAGUUCUGUGCUUUGAACUUGACCUAGGAGGUCCUUCUCCCAAGUCCUUUGCGUUAGCUACAGGCAAAACAAUGCAGAUCUCAUGGUCCCAUGAAAUCCAGAGUACAAAGAGUGGUAGCUACCAGCUUGGCCUUGAGGUCUUAAUCAAUCAAUUCUAGAAGCCCCUCUUACGUUUAGUACUUUCGAUCAGGCUGUCAUCUGAUCCUGGGAGUCACCAGACUGACCCGUCAUCUAGUAGCCGUCGAUCGACCCGUCUUCCAUGAAUUUGACCAAGCCCCUUUGAAAGCCAUCUGAGCAACUGGCCGUUAGCACAACCCAUGGAAGAGAACUCCAAAGGAUAUGCUUGACCAAGUACUUCCUUUUGUCGGUCCUACAUUUCCUGGCCUUCCUUUUCAUGGGAUGACCUCUGGACUCUAGUGUUGGGAGAGAGGGAGAAAAGCUUCUCUAUCCACUCUCUCUACUCCAUGCAGCAUUUUCGACAAUCUGUACGCAGCGUAGUAUAUAUUGAGCACACAUAUUUUGCAUGCAUUUCCGUCCUCCCUUGGUCAUGCUGUCUUGUGACUUGACCUGCUUCGUAGGGCUGUUGGGAAGGCGAAAUGGUGGAAGCCCAACCCUCGGACAUGCAGCUCAGUGGGGACCCUGGACUCCCUUAUUUUUCUGCCAAACUUUCUGCAUAGGAAUGGCUGGAGAAUGCACAAGGCACACACAUGAAUUCCUCAAGCCAGCCACAAUCCUGGGGAUUCUGCUGCCUCCCACAGCCCUUGGGAGAACAAAACAGCCCACCAGGCAAGAUGCCCGGAGAUGCUGUGAAUUAAGCUCUGUCCGGGCAUUUAAUAUUUGGAGAUGCUGUAGUGUCUCAGAGCUCACCCCUGCUCAGGAGACCUCUCACACCCAAGCAUUUAGAACAGGGCUGCUCAACUUUGGCCAUCCCGCAGAUGUUGGCCUACAACUCCCAGAAUCCCUUGCUACGGGCCACUGUGCCUGGAGAUUGUGGGAACUGUAGUUCAAAAAGAGCUGUGGGGCUAAGGUUGAUCAGGGCUGGUCUAGACCUUCCCAAGUUAGGGGCCUCCAGAUGUUGCUGAACUAAAACUCCCAUCAGCACCUGCUCCCAUUAAUAAGGGAAUGCACUCUAUUCUGUGCUAGUCACACUUCCCUUGGAAUACCCUGUGCAUAUUUAUGCAACGGGUCAUGUGGUAUUGUCAUUUUAUAGAUCUGAUGUUUCCUCUAGGUAUACAGGUUCAGACAUUUUCCUUAUAUGUGUAUUUUAAGUUAUAUAGAUUUUCCUUGGGCACGGGGGGACCAAAACAGGAGGAAAUCUAUCUGCUCUUCAGAAGAUGCUCUGGCUUUGUUUGGGUGACAUUGCUUACUAUCCACUUUUUGAGCUGUUUUCCCCCUGAAUAUUUCAUUUCAUAGCAUAUAUCACACACACACACAUACACCCGCAACCGUUUUUGUGUUUUUAUUUUGGUCAAGUUCCACUGAGGGCUGCUUGCCAAUUGAAAAACCAUACUGCCAAAACACACACACACACCCCACCGAACACUUCUGGUUGUCUUUUGGGGAGAUGCUUGGGAAACACUUAAACUGCUGACACUCAACUAGUUCAUAUCAGAUGAUAUCAAACUGAUCACAAAGCAAUUGCCUGACCCCUCUGCCAGUGGGCAUCACAAUCCCGUCCUUGUUGGCCUCCCCCCUUUUGACCAUAUAUGGUUCCUUUCAAAGCCCCUCUCAAUAUGGCCUGCCUCUUUCUGCUGUCACAAGGAGAGCAACCACAGCCCCCUCCCACUUCUGCCCGCAUCAUAAGACUCCACUGUCCUCUGAGCCCCAAUAAAAGCAGCCCACCUUUGCUGAGCAGCUAAGUCUCCCUGGGGGGGGAGAGGGGAAACGGUUAAUGUUUCCCCUUUGCCCCCGUGGGAUGUGGGAGGGCGGCCGAAGUCCUGGGCUUUUUCCGCAAUCUCACUCCCUGUAGGGGAUCCAGGUUUCUGGUAGAGGACGCCGAGCUGUCUCCCUUAGACCCCUGCAGGCUCCUUCGGGAGCUCCUACUGGCCACCGUCUGACGUGCCCCUCUCGGGCUAAGGGCUGAAGCGGGGUCUCCCCCUCCCUGUAAGAAUAAGCUCCCCAAGCAGCUCGAAGACCCAGCUCCCAAAGGUGUGGUCCUUCUGGUUGAGCCAGAGUAGCUCAAGCUGUGUCUGGGUGGGCUCAUCCCUUGGUGGUCCUGCCCCAACACAGAUUGACCAAGGCCCACUGUUUAACCUGGCCCUGCAGGCCUGGCUGGUUGCCGCUUUUUGGAGCCGAGAAGGAAUUUUCCCCUGGGAGGUCUCUGGAUCCCCAGGUUUUUUGCCUUCUCUGCACGGCCUUCCUCUUGAGCUCUGCAAGUGCCUUGGCUUGCCGCUGAAGACGAGUCAAGCAGUGGGUCUUUCCCCCUCCCACCCCUCCCCAAAUAAAAUAUAAAUAGAUUUGAA
This is a long non-coding RNA of Hemicordylus capensis (graceful crag lizard), 3391 nucleotides long. RefSeq lists it as uncharacterized. Lineage: Eukaryota; Metazoa; Chordata; Lepidosauria; Squamata; Cordylidae. The transcript is spliced from 2 exons. The record is from RefSeq and is a predicted model, not a curated record.